RNAcentral lists this small RNA (28 nucleotides) under Bombyx mori (domestic silkworm). RNAcentral's name for it is "ovarian small RNA-16826". The record is from RNAcentral. Lineage: Eukaryota; Metazoa; Arthropoda; Insecta; Lepidoptera; Bombycidae.
GCGAGCGUAUGUUCCGCCGUGUCCAGGU